CAGCCGCCGCGGUAAUGCGUAGGUGGCAAGCGUUGUCCGGAAUUAUUGGGCGUAAAGGGCUCGCAGGCGGUUUCUUAAGUCUGAUGUGAAAGCCCCCGGCUCAACCGGGGAGGGUCAUUGGAAACUGGGAAACUUGAGUGCAGAAGAGGAGAGUGGAAUUCCACGUGUAGCGGUGAUAUGCGUAGAGAUGUGGAGGAACACCAGUGGCGAAGGCGACUCUCUGGUCUGUAACUGACGCUGAGGAGCGAAAGCGUGGGGAGCGAACAGGAUUAGAUACCCGGGUAGUCCCUGUCUCUUAUAC
RNAcentral lists this ribosomal RNA (301 nucleotides) under uncultured bacterium. RNAcentral's name for it is "partial 16S ribosomal RNA". It matches the Rfam family "Bacterial small subunit ribosomal RNA", at positions 509 to 807 of the family's 1533-position model. The record is from RNAcentral.